Molecule: non-coding RNA, 383 nt
Filed under: Linnemannia elongata AG-77
Lineage: Eukaryota; Fungi; Mortierellomycota; Mortierellomycetes; Mortierellales; Mortierellaceae
Description: Mortierella elongata AG-77 Eukaryotic large subunit ribosomal RNA
Rfam family: Eukaryotic large subunit ribosomal RNA
Source: Rfam by way of RNAcentral
UAUUAAUGUAAUGACUGUAGUACGAGAGGGACCGUUCAUUCGGAUAAUUGGUAUUUGGGCCUGCCUGAGCAGGCAAUGGCCCGAAGCUAUCAUCCGUUGGGGUAUGGCUGAACGCCUCUGAGUCAGAACCCGUGCUAGAACGCGACGAUUACCGCCUUGGCCAUUUUUAGUUGAAUACGAAUAGACCUACGGUCCAGAACCAUACGAACGUGGGGUUAUCUUGCAGAGCGGAAAGGCUUUGUGAGGUUCCCACUAAUGUUAAUUUCAAAUAUUGUCAAGGAUAAAUCCAAUGCAGACGACUUUAAUUGAACGGGGUAUUGUAAGCAGUAGAGUAGCCUUGUUGCUACGAUCUGCUGGGAUUAAGCCCAUUGUUCUCUAGAUUU